This 252-nucleotide ribosomal RNA is filed under the name uncultured bacterium. Its description in RNAcentral is "partial 16S ribosomal RNA". It matches the Rfam family "Bacterial small subunit ribosomal RNA", at positions 524 to 776 of the family's 1533-position model. The record is from RNAcentral.
UACGUAGGGGGCUAGCGUUAUCCGGAAUUACUGGGCGUAAAGGGUGCGUAGGUGGUUUCUUAAGUCAGAGGUGAAAGGCUACGGCUCAACCGUAGUAAGCCUUUGAAACUGGGGAACUUGAGUGCAGGAGAGGAGAGUGGAAUUCCUAGUGUAGCAGUGAAAUGCGUAGAUAUCGAGAGGAACACUCGUGGCGAAGGCGGGUUCCUGGACAUUAACUGACGCUGAGGCACGAAGGCCAGGGGAGCGAAAGGG